RNAcentral lists this ribosomal RNA (1632 nucleotides) under Clostridioides difficile. Its description in RNAcentral is "bacterial LSU rRNA". It matches the Rfam family "Bacterial large subunit ribosomal RNA", at positions 1280 to 2925 of the family's 2925-position model. Lineage: Bacteria; Bacillati; Bacillota; Clostridia; Peptostreptococcales; Peptostreptococcaceae. The record is from RNAcentral.
GUAUGGGAGUGAGAAUGUUGGCAUGAGUAGCGAGAUGUGGGUGAGAAUCCCACAGGCCGUAAACCCAAGGUUUCCAGGGGAAGGUUCGUCCGCCCUGGGUUAGUCGGGACCUAAGCUGAGGCCGAAAGGCGUAGGUGAUGGACAACAGGUUGAUAUUCCUGUACUACCGAUAACCGUUUGAGAGAAGGGAUGACACAGUAGGAUAAGCUAAGCACACUGUUGGUUAUGUGUGCCCAAGCAUUGAGGCAGUCAAAGUAGGCAAAUCCGCUUUGAUAAUGCUGGGAUGUGAUGGGGAGCGAAAUUUAGUAGCGAAGUAGCUGAUUUCACACUGUCAAGAAAAGUCUCUAUCGAGGUUAAAGGUACCCGUACCGCAAACCGACACAGGUGGGUGAGGAGAGUAUCCUAAGGCCAGCGAGAGAACUGUUGUUAAGGAACUCGGCAAAAUGACCCCGUAACUUAGGGAUAAGGGGUGCCACCAUCAGGUGGCCGCAGAGAAUAGGCCCAAGCGACUGUUUACCAAAAACAUAGGUUUCUGCUAAGUCGCAAGACGAUGUAUAGGAGCUGACGCCUGCCCGGUGCUGGAAGGUUAAGGGGAUCUGUUAGAGCAAUCGAAGCAGUGAACUUAAGCCCCAGUAAACGGCGGCCGUAACUAUAACGGUCCUAAGGUAGCGAAAUUCCUUGUCGGGUAAGUUCCGACCCGCACGAAAGGCGUAACGAUUUGGGCACUGUCUCAACAACAGACUCGGUGAAAUUGUAAUUCCGGUGAAGAUGCCGGAUACCUGCGACAGGACGGAAAGACCCCAUGGAGCUUUACUGUAGCUUGACAUUGGGUCUUGGUACUACAUGUACAGGAUAGGUGGGAGGCUUUGAAACCAGGACGCCAGUUUUGGCGGAGCCAUCCUUGGGAUACCACCCUUGUAGUACUGGGACUCUAACCAUAGGCCAUGAAUCUGGUCUUGGGACACUGUCAGGUGGGCAGUUUGACUGGGGCGGUCGCCUCCCAAAAGGUAACGGAGGCGCUCAAAGGUUCUCUCAGUACGGUCGGAAAUCGUACGUAGAGUGUAAAGGCAAAAGAGAGCUUGAUUGCAAGACAUACAGGUCGAGCAAGGAUGAAAAUCGGACUUAGUGAUCCGGUGGUUCUGCGUGGAAGGGCCAUCGCUCAACGGAUAAAAGCUACCCUGGGGAUAACAGGCUUAUCUCCCCCAAGAGUCCACAUCGACGGGGAGGUUUGGCACCUCGAUGUCGGCUCAUCACAUCCUGGGGCUGUAGUAGGUCCCAAGGGUUGGGCUGUUCGCCCAUUAAAGUGGUACGCGAGCUGGGUUCAGAACGUCGUGAGACAGUUCGGUCCCUAUCCGUCGCAGGCGUAGGAAAUUUGAGAAGACCUGUCCUUAGUACGAGAGGACCGGGAUGGACGUACCUCUGGUGUACCAGUUGUCCUGCCAAGGGCAUGGCUGGGUAGCUAUGUACGGAAUGGAUAAGCGCUGAAAGCAUCUAAGCGCGAAGCCAACUUCAAGAUAAGAUUUCCCACCGCAAGGGUAAGACCCCAGAAAGACUAUCUGGUUGAUAGGUCGAAGGUGUAAGUGCAGCAAUGUAUUUAGCUUAUCGAUACUAAUAGGUCGAGGACUUGACCAA